GGAGGAAAAGAAACUAACUAGGAUUCCCUUAGUAACGGCGAGUGAACCGGGAUGAGCUCAAAUUUAAAAUCUGGCGUCUUUCAGGCGUCCGAGUUGUAAUCUAUAGAGGCGUUUUCCGCGCCGGACCGCGUCCAAGUCUCUUGGAAUAGAGUAUCAAAGAGGGUGACAAUCCCGUACUUGACGCGACAACCGGUGCUCUGUGAUACGUUCUCAAUGAGUCGAGUUGUUUGGGAAUGCAGCUCUAAAUGGGUGGUAAAUUCCAUCUAAGGCUAAAUAUUGGCGAGAGACCGAUAGCGAACAAGUACCGUGAGGGAAAGAUGAAAAGCACUUUGGAAAGAGAGUUAAACAGCACGUGAAAUUGUUAAAAGGGAAACGAUUGAAGUCAGUCGUGUGAAAGGUAUUCAGCCGUCUCUGGCGGUGUAUUUGCCUUUCACGGGUCAACAUCAGUUUGAUCCGGUAGAAAAAGGCAGGAGGAAGGUGGCACCCUCGGGUGUGUUAUAGCCUCUUGUCAUAUGUGCCGGACCAGACUGAGGAACGCAGCUUGCCGCAAGGCCGGGGUUCGCCCACGUACAAGCUUAGGAUGUUGACAUAAUGGCUUUAAACGACCCGU
Molecule: ribosomal RNA, 610 nt
Filed under: Vishniacozyma victoriae
Lineage: Eukaryota; Fungi; Basidiomycota; Tremellomycetes; Tremellales; Bulleribasidiaceae
Description: eukaryotic LSU rRNA
Rfam family: Eukaryotic large subunit ribosomal RNA
Source: RNAcentral